Molecule: long non-coding RNA, 600 nt
Organism: Felis catus (domestic cat)
Lineage: Eukaryota; Metazoa; Chordata; Mammalia; Carnivora; Felidae
Exons: 2
Source: RefSeq, a predicted model, not a curated record
CUUUUCUCUGCUUAACUCGGCAGCACUGGUUCCUGGAACACCAUAAAUGCUCAAUUAGUCUCAGUAUCCAUUGAAUGAAUGUACGCCUGUCACAGCAGAAUUUCACCUGUGUCAGAGCCAACAUUGAGUUUGGCCUUUCCAGGCCCCUCCCCAGUCUGUGUGCUCAAGUACUCCCAGCUGCCAGCAGCACCUGUUACUCGUGUGCUCCGACCUUCUGACCAUGAAGCCAAUGAGAGACUCGGCUCAGGAACCAACAUAUGUUACGGUCAUUGUUCUCAGAAGCAGUGGAGGUAGGACCGGUACAGAACUCAUAUGGUCGCUGUGCAAAGAUUGGCACGGGUGGGGAGUGAGGGCACCGUGCCUGGAGACCCUGUAACUGUUGUCAACUAUUCUCACUGGCUGUAUGGCAGAAAGGAAUAUUAUCGAAGCAGCAGGCCAGCCUUCCAAAGCUGCUGAUCCUUCCACGGCAGCUCAGACCUCGCUCCCUGAUGUGUUGGUGAUAUGUGCCAACGAAUAUAUUCCAAAUGUGUCGCAAAUAUAUUCCAGAUGCGUCAAGAAUUUCAGUAUUUUCCUGUGUAAUAAAACCUCAGUGGAGAAUCA